This 301-nucleotide ribosomal RNA is filed under the name uncultured bacterium. RNAcentral describes it as "partial 16S ribosomal RNA". It matches the Rfam family "Bacterial small subunit ribosomal RNA", at positions 509 to 807 of the family's 1533-position model. The record is from RNAcentral.
CAGUAGCCGCGGGAAAACGUAGGUGGCAAGCGUUGUCCGGAAUUAUUGGGCGUAAAGGGCUCGCAGGCGGUUUCUUAAGUCUGAUGUGAAAGCCCCCGGCUCAACCGGGGAGGGUCAUUGGAAACUGGGAAACUUGAGUGCAGAAGAGGAGAGUGGAAUUCCACGUGUAGCGGUGAAAUGCGUAGAGAUGUGGAGGAACACCAGUGGCGAAGGCGACUCUCUGGUCUGCAACUGACGCUGAGGAGCGAAAGCGUGGGGAGCGAACAGGAUUAGAUACCCCUGUAGUCCCUGUCUCUUAUAC